UACAGAGGGUGCGAGCGUUAAUCGGAAUUACUGGGCGUAAAGCGCGCGUAGGCGGUUGGACAAGUCGAGUGUGAAAUCCCCGGGCUCAACCUGGGAGCUGCAUUCGAAACUGUUCGGCUAGAGUAUGGGAGAGGGAAGUGGAAUUUCAGGUGUAGCGGUGAAAUGCGUAGAUAUCUGAAGGAACAUCAGUGGCGAAAGCGACUUCCUGGACCAAUACUGACGCUCAGGUGCGAAAGCGUGGGGAGCAAACAGG
This 253-nucleotide ribosomal RNA is filed under the name uncultured bacterium. RNAcentral's name for it is "partial 16S ribosomal RNA". It matches the Rfam family "Bacterial small subunit ribosomal RNA", at positions 524 to 776 of the family's 1533-position model. RNAcentral also lists the same sequence under 1 other name. The record is from RNAcentral.